AUGAAAUCCCUAGCAGUAGCCACCGUUCCCCUUUGGGGCCUGGCUACAUCUCCCUCUCCCCCAACCUCCUUCUCCACCUCCGUCCGCCGCUGCGGCCAGGCCGGCAUGGCGGCGUGCCACCAGCACCACAGCACCACCCAGCACAUCCACCAGGGCCGCCUCACCUCCCAGCGCCAUCCACCACCUCAUGCGUCCAACACCACUGCGUCGCCGCCACAGCACCACCACAUCCAGCGCCUCCCUCCAGCUCGGGCGACCCUGCCUUCUGCCGCUGUCUUCUUCUUCCCCUUCCUGGUGCUCCCCCAACUUGUCUCCCUGCUCCUCUUCAUUCUCAACCACCUGCUGCUUCUUCUCUCAUCAACCUGCUGUUGCUCCUCCCUUGCGCCCCUUCUCUAUCAGUCUGCUACUGCUCUUCACCUUCCCUUGCCCCAACCUGCUGCUACUUCUUUCUUCCCCAUGCCUCGGUUGCUGCUACAUCUCUUGCUACUCCUCUUCUUUCCCAUGCUUUUGCUGCUGCUCUAA
RNAcentral lists this ribosomal RNA (522 nucleotides) under Triticum aestivum (bread wheat). Its description in RNAcentral is "partial small subunit ribosomal RNA". The record is from RNAcentral. Lineage: Eukaryota; Viridiplantae; Streptophyta; Magnoliopsida; Poales; Poaceae.